UACCAAACAGCUAGCCCCCCAUAAGAUUAAAUUCACCAACAUAAAUUAAGUCUUGAUAACCUAAAAUUUUUAAUUAAAUCAUUUUCACCCCUAGUAUAGGCGAUAGAAAAGGAACUAGGAGCUAUAGACAAAGUACCGCAAGGGAACACUGAAAAAGAAAUGAAAUAACCCAGUUAAGUUAAAAGCAGCAGAGUUAAAACCUCGUACCUUUUGCAUCAUGACUUAGUGAGCAUAUUUAAGCAAAAUGAAUUUAAGUUUAAACACCCGAAACCAAGCGAGCUACUCCAAGGCAGCCUAUUAACUAGGGCACCCCCGUCUCUGUGGCAAAAGAGUGGGAAGACCUUCGAGUAGAGGUGACAAACCUACCGAGCCUGGUGAUAGCUGGUUACUUGAUAAAUGAAUAUUAGUUCAGCCCCCUGGAUUCUUUAUUCCCUUAAGGCCCCGCCUAAUCAAGAUAAAAAGAAUCCUUAGGAGUUAGUCAAAAGGGGUACAGCCUUUUUGAUAAAAGAAACAACUUUAACCUGAGGAUAAAGAUCAUAAUUACACAAGGACUUGUUCUAAGGUGGGCCUAAAAGCAGCCAUCCUUGCAGAAAGCGUUAAAGCUCAAGAACUACAACUCCCGAUAAUUAAGAUUUAUUCACUUAAUCCCUAACAACCACCAAGUCCUUCUAUACUGUAUAGAAAAGAUUAUGCUAACAUGAGUAACAAGAGCCAGAAGCUCUCCAAGCACAAGCGUACAUCGGAUUAGACAACCUGCCGAAAAUUAAUGUCCCCAAACACAGAGUGAAAUGAAAACCCCCUAAAAAACAAGAAAAACUUACAUACUUUAAACAUUAACCUUACACUAGCGUGCUAUAAAGGAAAGAUUAAAAAAAGAGGAAGGAACUCGGCAAACAUGAAGCCUCGCCUGUUUACCAAAAACAUCGCCUCCUGCUAUAAAAGUAUAGGAGGUCCCGCCUGCCCUGUGACUAUGGGUUCAACGGCCGCGGUAUUUUGACCGUGCAAAGGUAGCGCAAUCACUUGUCUUUUAAAUGAAGACCUGUAUGAAUGGCGAAACGAGGGCUCAACUGUCUCCCCCUUUUAAUCAGUGAAAUUGAUCUCCCCGUGCAGAAGCGGGGAUACCACCAUAAGACGAGAAGACCCUGUGGAGCUUUAGAUAUAUAAAGGGAUUAUACCAAAUUUGCCUUCUAAACAGGCUAAACUAAUUAAUAUCCUUUUUGCUGUCUUUGGUUGGGGCGACCACGGGGAAAAAUAAAACCCCCACGCGGAUAAAAAGAACCCGCUUUUACAGAGUAGAGCCUCAGCUCUACAACACAGAACUUCUGACCUUCAGAUCCGGCCAUGCCGAUCAACGGACCGAGUUACCCCAGGGAUAACAGCGCAAUCCUCUUUAAGAGCCCAUAUCGACAAGGGGGUUUACGACCUCGAUGUUGGAUCAGGACAUCCUAAUGGUGCAGCCGCUAUUAAGGGUUCGUUUGUUCAACGAUUAAAGUCCUACGUGAUCUGAGUUCAGACCGGAGUAAUCCAGGUCAGUUUCUAUCUAUGUUGCGCCUUUCUCUAGUACGAAAGGAUCGAGAAGGGAGGGCCCCUGUUACUAACAAGCCCCAACCCCAUCCUGUGACAAACACUUAACCGGACAAGGGGUCGCGAACCCCUUCCGGAAAAAACGGAU
This 1672-nucleotide ribosomal RNA is filed under the name Arcos sp. KU 149. Its description in RNAcentral is "16S rRNA". It matches the Rfam family "Bacterial large subunit ribosomal RNA". The record is from RNAcentral. Lineage: Eukaryota; Metazoa; Chordata; Actinopteri; Blenniiformes; Gobiesocidae.